AUUGAACGCUGGCGGCAGGCUUAACACAUGCAAGUCGAACGGUAACAUAAAGAAGCUUGCUUCUUUGAUGACGAGUGGCGGACGGGUGAGUAAUGCUUGGGAAUCUAGCUUAUGGAGGGGGAUAACUACGGGAAACUGUAGCUAAUACCGCGUAGAAUCGAGAGAUGAAAGUGUGGGACCUUCGGGCCACAUGCCAUAGGAUGAGCCCAAGUGGGAUUAGGUAGUUGGUGAGGUAAAGGCUCACCAAGCCGACGAUCUCUAGCUGGUCUGAGAGGAUGACCAGCCACACUGGGACUGAGACACGGCCCAGACUCCUACGGGAGGCAGCAGUGGGGAAUAUUGCGCAAUGGGGGCAACCCUGACGCAGCCAUGCCGCGUGAAUGAAGAAGGCCUUCGGGUUGUAAAGUUCUUUCGGUAGCGAGGAAGGCAUUUAGUUUAAUAGACUAGGUGAUUGACGUUAACUACAGAAGAAGCACCGGCUAACUCCGUGCCAGCCGCCGCGGUAA
Molecule: ribosomal RNA, 506 nt
Filed under: uncultured bacterium
Lineage: Bacteria
Description: partial 16S ribosomal RNA
Rfam family: Bacterial small subunit ribosomal RNA
Source: RNAcentral